This 313-nucleotide ribosomal RNA is filed under the name uncultured bacterium. RNAcentral's name for it is "bacterial SSU rRNA". It matches the Rfam family "Bacterial small subunit ribosomal RNA", at positions 490 to 793 of the family's 1533-position model. The record is from RNAcentral.
GCACCGGCUAACUCCGUGCCAGCAGCCGCGGUAAUACGGACGGGUGCGAGCGUUAAUCGGAAGUUACUGGGCGUAAAGCGCAUGCAGGCGGCCUGUUAAGUCAGAUGUGAAAGCCCCGGGGCUUAACCUACGGAAUUGCAUUUGUAAACUGGCAGGCUAGAGUCUUGUAGAGGGGGGUAGGAAUUUCAGGUGUAGCGGUGAAAUAGCGUAGAGAUCUGAAGGAAUACCAGUGGCGAAGGCGGCCCCCCUGGACAAAGACUGACGCUCAGAUGCGAAAGCGUGGGGAGCAAACAGGAUUAGAUACCCCUGGUAG